GGGGUUGUGGCUCAGAGGUAGAGCACUCGCCUAGCACGUGUGAGGCACUGGAUUCAAUCCUUAACAUCA
RNAcentral lists this transfer RNA (69 nucleotides) under Marmota monax (woodchuck). RNAcentral's name for it is "tRNA.Ala". The stretch from base 1 to 62 matches the Rfam family "tRNA". From Rfam's summary of the family: Transfer RNA (tRNA) molecules are approximately 80 nucleotides in length. Lineage: Eukaryota; Metazoa; Chordata; Mammalia; Rodentia; Sciuridae. The record is from RNAcentral.